GACGAACGCUGGCGGCGUGCUUAACACAUGCAAGUCGAACGGAAAGGCCCUGCUUUUGUGGGGUGCUCGAGUGGCGAACGGGUGAGUAACACGUGAGUAACCUGCCCUUGACUUUGGGAUAACUUCAGGAAACUGGGGCUAAUACCGGAUAGGAGCUCCUGCUGCAUGGUGGGGGUUGGAAAGUUUCGGCGGUUGGGGAUGGACUCGCGGCUUAUCAGCUUGUUGGUGGGGUAGUGGCUUACCAAGGCUUUGACGGGUAGCCGGCCUGAGAGGGUGACCGGCAACAUUGGGACUGAGAUACGGCCCAGACUCCUACGGGAGGCAGCAGUGGGGAAUAUUGCACAAUGGGCGGAAGCCUGAUGCAGCAACGCCGCGUGCGGGAUGAAGGCCUUCGGGUUGUAAACCGCUUUCGCCUGUGACGAAGCGUGAGUGACGGUAAUGGGUAAAGAAGCACCGGCUAACUACGUG
This 468-nucleotide ribosomal RNA is filed under the name uncultured bacterium. RNAcentral's name for it is "partial 16S ribosomal RNA". It matches the Rfam family "Bacterial small subunit ribosomal RNA", at positions 28 to 507 of the family's 1533-position model. The record is from RNAcentral.